RNAcentral lists this ribosomal RNA (253 nucleotides) under uncultured bacterium. RNAcentral's name for it is "partial 16S ribosomal RNA". It matches the Rfam family "Bacterial small subunit ribosomal RNA", at positions 524 to 776 of the family's 1533-position model. The record is from RNAcentral.
UACGUAGGUGGCAAGCGUUGUCCGGAAUUAUUGGGCGUAAAGCGCGCGCAGGUGGUUUCUUAAGUCUGAUGUGAAAGCCCACGGCUCAACCGUGGAGGGUCAUUGGAAACUGGGGAACUUGAGUGCAGGAGAGAAGAGUGGAAUUCCACGUGUAGCGGUGAAAUGCGUAGAGAUGUGGAGGAACACCAGUGGCGAAGGCGACUCUUUGGCCUGUAACUGACACUGAGGCGCGAAGGUCAGGGGAGCAAACGGG